Long non-coding RNA from Nematostella vectensis (starlet sea anemone), 344 nucleotides. RefSeq lists it as uncharacterized. The record is from RefSeq and is a predicted model, not a curated record. The transcript has 2 exons. Lineage: Eukaryota; Metazoa; Cnidaria; Anthozoa; Actiniaria; Edwardsiidae.
ACUUAUCUGACGUCCCGAGCGAGAGGGAGUUUUGAGGUUUUCCUGAUGCGAUUUCGGUCUGCACAGGAUUCCGGGUCGUUGCCGUGUGUCAUCCAACGUUGAAAUCUUAUUGACGUCGGCCAAGAUUAAAGCAGCUGCCUAACCAUAGACCUGUCUAUUUUCAUUAUCCACGAACUCAAGAAGUUUUUUUUGGGCUCUGAUUCUACGAGCUUGUAUUCCUGGAACAAGCGGAUAAGCGGAGAAAAUUACUGUUGGACUUCCUGUAAGGAAAUCCAUCAGCUUCAAUGGAAUCUUGCCCUUCCCAAAUAUCACCUUUCCCUAAAUAAAUCUAUUCCGAAUGGCAA